UUGCGCAGUAUAGGUGGGAGGCGAAGAAGAUAUGUUUGCGGAUGUAUAUGAGCCAAUAGUGAGAUACCACUCUAAUUAAACUAGGAUUCUAAUAUUGAUUGCCAUAAGCUGGCCAAUAAACAGUUUCUGGUGGGCAGUUUGACUGGGGCGGUCGCCUCCUAAAAAGUAACGGAGGCGUGCAAAGGUUUCUUCAGGCUGGUCGGAAAUCAGUCGCAGAGUGUAAAGGCAUAAAGAAGCUUGACUGCAAGACUUACAAGUCGAGCAGAGACGAAAGUCGGCCUUAGUGAUCCGACAGUUCUG
Molecule: ribosomal RNA, 300 nt
Filed under: Gracilaria rangiferina
Lineage: Eukaryota; Rhodophyta; Florideophyceae; Gracilariales; Gracilariaceae
Description: bacterial LSU rRNA
Rfam family: Bacterial large subunit ribosomal RNA
Source: RNAcentral